AGUUGGGCUAUAACUUGGUGAAGUUGGACUAUAACCAGGAGAAGUGGGGCUAUAGGCUGGUGAAGUGGGGCUGUACGAUGGAGAAGUAGGGCUGUAUGACGGUGAGGUAGGGCUGUACGAAGGUGAUGUUGGGCUGUAGGAAGGAGAGGUUGGGCUGUACGAUGGUGAGGUGGGGCUGUAUGCAGGUGAGGUGGGGCUAUAUGCAGGUGAGGUGGGGCUAUAUGCCGGUGAGGUGGGGCUAUAGCUUGGUGAAGUUGGACUGUAACUGGGAGAAGUGGGGCUGUAACUUGGAGAGGUCGGGCUGUAGCUUGGGGAUGUUGGGCUGUAACUUGGGGAGGUUGGGCUAUAGCUUGGUGAAGUAGGUGAGUACGAUGGACUGGUAGGAGAAUAGGCAGGACUGGUUGGACUAUAACCAGGAGAACUUGGACUAUAAGUUGGUGAG
This 442-nucleotide long non-coding RNA is filed under the name Citrus maxima (pomelo). RNAcentral describes it as "long non-coding RNA (CMAX_LNC000008)". The record is from RNAcentral. Lineage: Eukaryota; Viridiplantae; Streptophyta; Magnoliopsida; Sapindales; Rutaceae.